RNAcentral lists this long non-coding RNA (414 nucleotides) under Manihot esculenta (cassava). Its description in RNAcentral is "long non-coding RNA (MESC_LNC009068)". Lineage: Eukaryota; Viridiplantae; Streptophyta; Magnoliopsida; Malpighiales; Euphorbiaceae. The record is from RNAcentral.
AGAGGAAGAGCCAACAGCUCGAGUUCAUGGAAGGAGGGUGAAGGAGUUGAUAGAGAAUGAUGAAGUCGAUAGCUACUCCGCCAGAACCACUGGAAGAAUGGGGAGUGAGACAUGGGAAGAGGAGGCCCACCAGGAGAGGAAGCCCAGGCGGGAAGGGGAGAGUGUAGACCAGAAGUUGCAAAAGAUGAGAGAGCAACUCUUGGCCGAGCUAGGAAUGAAGGAUCAGAACCAGGCCCUCCUGCCCACCUCUUCGCCCUUCUCGAAGUGGGUACAGUAAGAGACCGUCCCCAAGAAGUUUAUGAUGCCGCCUAUGGCCGCAUACGACGGGGCUGGGAACCCUAGGGAGCAUGUCUUGAACUACAAGACUUUCAUGGAGCUGCAAACUCUGUCAGACGCCCUGAUGUGCAAGGUAUU